This is a long non-coding RNA of Neopelma chrysocephalum (saffron-crested tyrant-manakin), 516 nucleotides long. RefSeq lists it as uncharacterized. The transcript has 4 exons. Lineage: Eukaryota; Metazoa; Chordata; Aves; Passeriformes; Pipridae. The record is from RefSeq and is a predicted model, not a curated record.
CCGCGAGAACGGGCACCCCGCGUACCACGGGGCGGGGGGAGCCCUGCCCUGCCAGCUGCACCCCAGCCCCCUGAAGCGCUCGCUGUCGCUGGUGCCCGGCAGCCCCCAGCCCGGCCAGGGGGGCGAGUGGGCGGGGGGCGGGGGCCCCGAGGACCCCCCCGCGGCCCCCAGGGCCCCCCCCCCCGUUCGGGGAACACGCCCCCCUGUCCCCCCAGAGCAGCGUGGCCUCGUCGGGCAGCGAACACACCGAGGAGCCCGGCGGGCGCAACUCCUUCCAGGAGGACGGCAGCGGCAUGAAGGACGUCCCCUCGUGGCUCAAGAGCCUGCGGCUGCACAAGUACGCGGCGCUGUUCGCCCAGAUGAGCUACGAGGAGAUGAUGACGCUGACGGAGCAUCACCUGGAGUCACAGAACGUCACCAAAGGCGCCCGGCACAAGAUCGCCCUGAGCAUCCAGAAGCUGCGGGAGCGGCAGAGCGUCCUCAGGGCACUGGAGAAGGUCACUGGGGGCACUGGGA